RNAcentral lists this long non-coding RNA (1461 nucleotides) under Capsella rubella. RNAcentral describes it as "long non-coding RNA (CRUB_LNC002284)". The record is from RNAcentral. Lineage: Eukaryota; Viridiplantae; Streptophyta; Magnoliopsida; Brassicales; Brassicaceae.
UUCAUCUUCUGAUCUUUCGACUUUUUCUUAUAACUUAAGAGUUACUUAUACAAUAGUACUGUCUACGCCAUGGAACACUAAUCCAUUCCAUUCCUUUAUGUGGCUCCUCCUUUCAUCCUCUCCUGGGAUCUUUAGCAAAAACAUUUUUUAUUAUAGCUUUUGAUUUCCCCCUCAGCUCCUCUUCAUCCUUCAAAGCUUUCUUAGCAUUCUUCUUCUUCUUUAGAGUAGCCACAACAACCUCCUCAACCUCUUCUUCAGCCAAAUCCUUGAAUAGCACUAAACCAGUAACCCAAUAAUUAAAAUGUAACUUUGUCUACCUAAACCAAUGAUUUGAAAAUUAGACCCUACAUAACUAACAUAAUAAAAGCACAAUCGAUUACUAUAACCCUAAACUAAGGUGACUUCUUCUAGUUUUUGCCUCCAGUGACCUUCUCAUUCUUCUCAUCAUCGAUCUUUUUCUUCUUCUCCUCUUCAUUAGCUAUCUUUUUUUUUUCUCCUCAUAUCCCUCAAUGAUUAGAUCAUAGAUAUGUCUUAUAAUUGAUGGUUUAUCACUCUCUUAAAUGGUGAAGGAUAGUCUCUUAUUCUUCACACUCACCACCAAUUUGACGUAUCUUCCACUUGGCUGUUGAAACAUAUAAUACUACAAAAAAAUGAUUAAUUUCCUAUGGUCAGUUGCGUCAAAAAUUGGUAGGAAAGAGUAUUUUUCUAACAUUUUCCUACAAAAAUAUUGGUAGGAUAUCGCCCGUAGGAAAUCAUAAAUGGUAAGAUUUGGUAGGAAAUUUCCUACCAAAUUUCUACCAAAUCACGUUAUACAAAACGUCGUAAGUUAAAUCGUAGGAACAGAGAAUGUCAUUUUUGACCAUUUGCCUACAAAUAAAUCGUAGGAAACUUGUUCCUUCUAAUUUCCUACUAAAUAUUUCCUGCUCUUUUUCUUCAAAAUAAUCUUAUCAAUUUCCUACUAAAAAAAUAAAAUAAUAAUUUAUUUAUUUAUUCAAUAAUUAUAUUAUUAUGAAAAUUAUAUUAAAGUUUUAUAAUUACAAAUUUAAUAAUUUUCCUACCAAAUUUCUACUGCUUUUUUCUCUAAGAAAUUUCGUACGAGUUUUUUGCAACUAAGUUUCGUAGAAAAUUUCCUACUAAUUUCCUUAGACAAUUAUUUUUUGUAGAAUAAUCGUAAUUAUUUUGUAGGAAAUUUUUCUUACCAAAAGUUUUGUAGGAAAUUUAGUAGGAUAUAUCGAUAUAUAUAUAUAUCUUUCUUCAUUUUCUGAUCUUUCGACUUUUUUUCUUAUAACUUAAGAGUUACUUAUACAAUAGUACUGUCUACGCCAUGGAACACCAAUCCAUUCCAUUCCUUUAUGUGGCUCCUCCCUUCAUCCUCUCCUAAGAUAUUUAGCAAAAACAUUUUUUAUUAUAGCAUUUGAUUUCUCCCUCAGCUCCUCUUCAUUCUUCAAAGCUUUCUUAGCA